ACACGACUACAUUAGAUACCCCUGUAGUCCCAGCCCUAAACGAUGCGCGUUAGGUGUAUCGGUGACCACGAGUCACCGAGGUGCCGAAGGGAAACCGUGAAACGUGCCGCCUGGGAAGUACGGUCGCAAGGCUGAAACUUAAAGGGAUUGGCGGGGGAGCACCACAACGGGUGGAGCUUGCGGUUUAAUUGGACUCAACGCCGGGAAGCUCACCGGAUAAGACAGCGGAAUGAUUGCCGGGCUGAAGACCCCGCAUGACCAGCUG
Molecule: ribosomal RNA, 265 nt
Filed under: uncultured archaeon
Lineage: Archaea
Description: partial 16S ribosomal RNA
Rfam family: Archaeal small subunit ribosomal RNA
Source: RNAcentral